Molecule: long non-coding RNA, 681 nt
Organism: Leguminivora glycinivorella
Lineage: Eukaryota; Metazoa; Arthropoda; Insecta; Lepidoptera; Tortricidae
Exons: 21
Source: RefSeq, a predicted model, not a curated record
ACUACUGAGAAGUCAUCAAAGGAUUGCGAGUGUAAAACAGAGUCAUCUACUACAAGGACUACUAAAAUGAUUACUUGGAAGCCAUUACCGGAGUCACAAGAUAAAACUGGAUCAGGUUGCAAAACGUGUAAGAAACAAGAGAGCGAAAAUAGUGGAGCGAAGUGCGAGGAACGUCCUAAACGACAACAAAAGCUACAACAAAGAUUUGGUUUAAACCGUUACUGACUUCAGAUGAGUUUAUUAGCAAGGAUCCGAACAAUUUCUUCAAGAAACCCCUUGCGGUGCAAGUCAACAAUGGACAGCUUCUUAAGAUUCAAGUCAAAAAGCAAAAAGUUACUUUUCAAUAUUUUAAUGAGAGACUUAGACAGGUUAUAUCUAAACAAGCGUUGAAUAAAUUGGCAAAAAAAUUGAAAAAACCGAUUACUAACAAGGAAAAGGAUGAUGCUUUAAAGAUGCUGGCUUAUUUAGCGUCCAAGGAAGCCGUAAAGCAAGACAUAAAAGCACCCUCAAAGAAGAAACCGUCACACGGAAGACACAAACAGUCUAAGCAACUCUGCCUCUUCACCCCGGUUAAAGAAUAUUGUGUUAUGCAGACGAAGGAUUAGUAAAAAUUUAUACUUUGCGAUUGGGUGUCUCGGCGAUAUUCAAAUUAAAUAAAACAAAUAAAAAAAAUUGACAGUA